GUUUGACACUGAUUGAGCUACUAAAUUUUAUUUUAGAUUGAAUAUACAAAUAAUUAUAAAUUUUAUGUUGUUAUAUUUGGAUAUCAAAAUUCUUUUGAAAGGCCAGAUCAGAGAGCUGAUUUCUUUUGGAGAUGGUAUAAAACAAGCUGACCAGCUAUUCAGAACAAAAACUGUAGAGCUUGCUUUAGCUAUACUCAUUCUGCAGCAUCAAUUGGAAGCUUACGCCAGGAAUCAAAGUUCCAGAGAGAAAUAAUACGGCAUCUCUCAGAUCACUACUAAGUAAAAUAUAUAAGUAGCAUAACUAACAGACCAUAUACAUCACAUUACACCGAAGGAAUCCAUGCCUAAAUACGAUGUAUGGAUCAGAUAAAAUAUGAGUAAUAGGACAAAUAAUGACUAGUCAUGUGCAUAACUUUGUACCAUACUAUUGGUUCCAAAAUUGGGAUUCGCUGUGAAUCUCUGGAUUCUAUUCUGUUAUUGAGAACAAUGUUCUAUCAGGUUCAUAUUGCUCAAAUACCUUCAAGCCCAGAUCAGUGUGACCUUAUAUCCUGAAUAUAGCGACUUACUUGCUGAACACCAAGAAACAAGGCAUCAGCAACAAGAAAGAUUCCAACCAGACGCGCAGAGAAUAAUAAUCGAUAACCCCAACCUUCUUUGGCAGCUGCAACUCUUUGUUGAUCUGUCCAUCCAAGGAAUUCAGAAACCCCACCAAUUCCAGCAAACUUAAGAGGCUGAGGACCUUCUAUGACAAGAUCCUCUUCUGCAGCAGCCUCAAGGCCCCCUUGAACCCAAUAAAGGUUUCUGUAACCAGAAUUGCACAGCAACUCACAAGCAGCUAGAGAUCUCAAUCCUCUCUGGCAUGCAACUAUCAGGUCUGCAUCUUUUGGAAACUUCUCCUCAACCUUUGAUAAGAACUGGUUAUCAUAAGACAACGAAGGCACACCACUCCACCAGCCUCCUACAAAUGCACAAGCCAUUUAAAAACAAUGAAUGCACAAAGUAAUAAGAAAACCAAAAGUGAUUAAAGGAACAAUAAUCUUUCUACGCCUUAUUCAACGGUGACAUGCUUUGAGUCAGGCUGAUCAUCUGACAUUGACUCUCCCAUUCCCAUUAGGCCUAUAACCAGCAUUGUUGAAAUCAUAAGAUUUUCAAUUCAAAUCACAUGAUUCGAGUCGAUUCCCCUCCCUAGCAAUUCGAAUCUAUUGGCCAAAUCGAAAACAUACAUGAAUCGGUGCUAAAUGAGUGAAUCAAUAACGAAUUGGACAGAUCAACUGAUUCUUUCCCUAUAGCACUUUAAAGAACCAACAAGUGCAAAAUUCAAAUUUUAACUUUAAUAUUAGCAAGAAAGAAAAUUAAACCUCCCCCAAGUAAUCUGCACUAAGAUUAAAAUAUUAAAAACAAUUUAGAAAACAAAAAUUCACAUACAGUAAAUAAAACCAAAUGACUCUUCAUGCAUGAUGCAUCUACAUCUUCCACUCCUAUUUUGGUAUUCCCCACUAUUUGAAUACUUCCCAAGCUAACUAUGACUUGCCAUGUACAAUGAUAACACUACCUACCCUAGAUUUUAUAAUUUAUAUUGUAUUAUUAUAUUAUAAAGAGUUACGCAUCUUUUAUUGUUUAGUUUGUAAUUGUAUUAUGCAUUUCUUUUGGUUUUAUUCGCCAUAUACUCUUAGAUCUUGAGAAAGUUUAAAAGAAGGAGAUAAAAAAAAAAUCAAGAGAGACAAAGAGAAAGUGCGCUAAAAUAUCAUACAAGAUACUAAUAUGUCAACACUAACCAAAUAGAAAUGACAACAAAAGUAGAAUCCAUGAUAUAAGUCACACUCUGCAGAUCAACAAACAGACUUUGUUUUACUAUGUUAGGGGGCAAAAAUGAAUAGAUGUCCAAAUAAAAAUAUUCUAACACUCCACGUUAAGAGAAAACUGAACAUGCAACUCUCGCCAUUAAUCAGUGAAAAGCGCACCCAGUGCAUUCCAAUAGUCAUGUAUUACAAUUCACUCAGCACAGCCAUUAUAAACAUUCCUAUAAUGCAAGUGCAACAAGUGGCCCAGUCAAUUUCAUGCAUAUCUUAGAUAUAAGGAUACAUCACUGAAAGACCCUUAUUCUGUGAUGACUAUGACUCUAUAAGACUGUAUUUAAUAACAUUAUCUAAUGCAAAGCCAGCAUUCUAGUUAAGUAAUAUGCUUCUAUAAAACCUGGUCUACCUUACUCAGUUGUUAAAGUUUCAGUGCCGGGCGAUGUGAGGCCAGGCAAUGGCGCCUAACCUGGAUGAGUCACAUACUGCUUCCAAAAGGCGAGCCCCUUGGGCCAAAAGGCAAGAGGCGCCACCACAAGCAAAUAAUGUAUAUUUUUUGUUUUUUGUUUUUAAUUUUUCAAACAGCAAAGAUUAACCUAACCUAGCCUCUCCAUUUUACACCACCCUGCUGGAGAACUCCAUCAGACCACAACCUAGCAGGUAAUUUUCUCUCAUCCUUCCUCUCUCUUUCUCUCCUCUUCUUUAUUCCUCUCUCCUCUCCUCUUCUUCUCUUCUUCUCACCUGGUGCAGCAAAACAGCGCCUGCACAGAACCCCCUCCCCCCCUUUUUUGUUUCUUUGUAAAUUCUUCUUUUCUUCUUCUCUCCUUCUUCUCCUAUCCUCUUCUUCUCUCACUCGCGCCAUCUGCAUAGCAUCUGCACUUUUUUUUUUCUUUGUAUUUCUUUUCUUCUUUUCUCUCCUCCUUUUCUCUUCUUCUCUCACUCCCGCCUUCUGCACAGCAUCUGCAUUUUAUUUUAUUUUUCUUUUUAAUUUUAACUUGAGUAUUUUC
RNAcentral lists this unclassified non-coding RNA (2800 nucleotides) under Hevea brasiliensis (rubber tree). The record is from RNAcentral. Lineage: Eukaryota; Viridiplantae; Streptophyta; Magnoliopsida; Malpighiales; Euphorbiaceae.